UGGGGAAUUUUGAAUAAUGGGCGCAACCCUGAUCCAGCCAUGCCGCGUGAGUGAAGAAGGCCUUCGGGUUGUAAAGCUCUUUCGGCCGGGAAGAAAUCGCAUGGGUUAAUACCCUGUGUGGAUGACGGUACCGGAAUAAGAAGCACCGGCUAACUACGUGCCAGCAGCCGCGGUAAUACGUAGGGUGCGAGCGUUAAUCGGAAUUACUGGGCGUAAAGCGUGCGCAGGCGGUUUAGUAAGACAGGCGUGAAAUCCCCGGGCUCAACCUGGGAACUGCGCUUGUGACUGCUAAGCUAGAGUACGGCAGAGGGGGGUGGAAUUCCACGUGUAGCAGUGAAAUGCGUAGAGAUGUGGAGGAACACCGAUGGCGAAGGCAGCCCCCUGGGCCGAUACUGACGCUCAUGCACGAAAGCGUGGGUAGCAAACA
Molecule: ribosomal RNA, 427 nt
Filed under: uncultured bacterium
Lineage: Bacteria
Description: bacterial SSU rRNA
Rfam family: Bacterial small subunit ribosomal RNA
Source: RNAcentral